CCUACGGGAGACAGCAGUGAGGAAUAUUGGUCAAUGGGCGCGAGCCUGAACCAGCCAAGUCGCGUGAAGGAUGACUGCCCUACGGGUUGUAAACUUCUUUUAUAAAGGAAUAAAGUGAGGCACGUGUGCCUUUUUGUGUGUACUUUAUGAAUAAGGAUCGGCUAACUCCGUGCCAGCAGCCGCGGUAAUACGGAGGAUCCGAGCGUUAUCCGGAUUUAUUGGGGUUAAAGGGGGCGUAGAUGGGUUGUUAAGUCAGUUGUGAAAGUUUGCGGCUCAACCGUAAAAUUGCAAUUGAUACUGGAAGGCUUGAGUACAGGUGAGGUAGGCGGAAUUCGUGGUGUAGCGGUGAAAUGCUUAGAUAUCACGAAGAACUCCGAUUGCGAAGGCAGCUUACUAAACUGCAACUGACAUUGAUGCUCGAAAGUGUGGGUAUCAAACAGGAUUAGAUACCCUUGUAGUC
RNAcentral lists this ribosomal RNA (460 nucleotides) under uncultured bacterium. RNAcentral describes it as "partial 16S ribosomal RNA". It matches the Rfam family "Bacterial small subunit ribosomal RNA", at positions 338 to 795 of the family's 1533-position model. The record is from RNAcentral.